GUUAUGAGUGGACAAUAUUUCUUUCUUGCAGUCUUAGCUUGAAAAAGAUGCUCAAUCUCAUAUUUGAUUGAACACAUCAGGAAUGAAAAGAUUUAAGAAAUUUUUCUCACUUAUAACUACGGAUGAAAAAGGUUUUUGAGAAACACCCAGAUAUAGGAAGACUGAAAUAAAGGACAGACCAUGUAGGAAGAAAAACUGAAACAUUUUAUUCAUGAGUGAUACUAAACUUCUUCAAUGUCUGCCAAGAUUUCACCAAGAAAGGAAUUGCCAACAGCCAUUAGAAUUAAAGAUGUGUUUUAGAAUGUUGCAUAUAGAAAAUCCCUCUAGCUGAAGACAGGAUCUUUUCUAUGUCUGUUGUUGGUAGGUGAAUAUUCCACUGGAUUUUUUCUUUCUCUCAUUCUUUCCUUUCUAUUUUUUUUUUGUUGUUGUUGUUCAAUUGCCUCUUUGAUUCACUGAGAGAUAUUUGACAAGAAGUAGGAUGAA
This 483-nucleotide long non-coding RNA is filed under the name Chrysolophus pictus (golden pheasant). RNAcentral's name for it is "lncRNA (ENSCPIG00010009799.1)". Lineage: Eukaryota; Metazoa; Chordata; Aves; Galliformes; Phasianidae. The record is from RNAcentral.